RNAcentral lists this ribosomal RNA (253 nucleotides) under uncultured bacterium. RNAcentral's name for it is "partial 16S ribosomal RNA". It matches the Rfam family "Bacterial small subunit ribosomal RNA", at positions 524 to 776 of the family's 1533-position model. The record is from RNAcentral.
UACGUAGGGGGCAAGCGUUGUCCGGAAUUAUUGGGCGUAAAGAGCUCGUAGGCGGUCCUCUAAGUCUGAUGUGAAAUCUUGCGGCUUAACCGCGAAACUGCAUCCGAUACUGGAGGACUUGAGGCAGGUAGGGGAAGGUGGAAUUCCUGGUGUAGCGGUGAAAUGCGCAGAUAUCAGGAGGAACACCAGUGGCGAAGGCGGCCUUCUGGGCCUGUACUGACGCUGAGGAGCGAAAGCGUGGGGAGCAAACAGG